CCCGCGCCCCCUAUCGAGCUUCUUUCACACACACACAAAAUCACAAAUCAAACGAGCUUGAUCCUCUCUCCUUCAACGAGCUGCUUCUUCUCUCUGUCGCACGAGUUUCUUCUUCUCCUUUCCUCACUCACAGCGCCACCGCCGGCCACCCUAACCACCGGAGCUACCUUCUCAUUCUUCUCAUCUCUUUUAAACACUGAACCAGUAGAACACAGCCCUUGUUUCUCUCGUUCUUUUUCGUUCGCAGAACAAAUCAAGCUCAAACUCUUGUUCUCUUUGUCUCAGGUGAGCUCCAGCACGCGCGGUGCCACCUGUAGCAGCGUCUGCCCCACCACCGCCACACCUCUCUCUCUCUCUCUCUCUCCUUUUAUCCACCCUCAGUUCUGGCUCGCAUAUCUUCUCAGUGCCGCAGCCAUCAUCUCCUACAGUCAAUGCUUCCAGGUACACCAUGGAGCGACCGCGAUUCAGUGAUCAUCUAAAAGCCAUAAAGUUCAUCUGCAAGGAUUUUUGGACUGAGCUCUUUAAGAAGCAAAUCGACAACUUGAAAACAAACCAUAGAGGUACCUUUGUAUUGCAAGAUAAUAAGUUCCCCUGGCUUGAGCGGAUAUCAAUUUUAAUCUAAGAAGUUUGGGGUUAAUGAAUUUGUGAACCCAAAAGAUCAUAACAAACCUAUAAAAGAGAUAAUGGCUGAAAUGACCAAUGGAGGAGUGGAUCAUUCUGUUGAAUGUACCGGCAGCAUCUAAACUAUGAUCUCAGCAUUUCUAGUUCUAUUCUAAUCCCGCCACUUUCAUUCCCUGGAUUCCAUUCACAAGUAAAGACACCACUGAAGACUUGGCUGUUUCCACCAAGUGAUGCUUCCCAUUCUAUGGAGUUCAACACUAUCUGUGACAGUGCUCCAACCAAGUCCCUCAUUUCAGGCCUUUCUACUGGAUCUUCUUGCAAGCACCGACCUGCUAUCUCUGCUACCUUGAGCACAUAUUCAAUGGGAUAGUUUGCUUCAAGUACCUCUGCAAUCGAAUCAGUUGAAGAUGGAGCUCUGAAGGGAGUACAGAAAUGGUGUGACUAGUAGCAAAUAGCCUAGUAUUGUAUAUAGCAGUGAUUUGAGGAGCCUCAUCAUUUGGAAACUUGGAAUUUCUUGUGGAAACUUGGAAUUUCUUCAACCAGCAAGGAAGAAGAAUUGGUAUGAUAUUUUUAUAUAAAAUAUUGGUGUUACUACUUACUAUGUAUACCUACAGUGGGCACUCAAUCAAUGAGGUGAUUGAGUCUGAGUGAACAAGUUACUCCAAUUCUAUUGUGAUCCGUUGUUUCCAGCAAUGGUGUAGCACCAAGUUGAUAGGUUUUAUUUUGAUUAUUUUGAAUAUUUUGUAUUAUUAGUGGAUUGCAAUUUAAACAAAUAUAAGUAUAAUUUUAGUUAUUUAUCU
Non-coding RNA from Arachis ipaensis, 1421 nucleotides. Lineage: Eukaryota; Viridiplantae; Streptophyta; Magnoliopsida; Fabales; Fabaceae. The record is from RefSeq and is a predicted model, not a curated record.